UUACAACAGAGACACGAAGCGCGCGCA
RNAcentral lists this small RNA (27 nucleotides) under Bombyx mori (domestic silkworm). RNAcentral describes it as "ovarian small RNA-36411". The record is from RNAcentral. Lineage: Eukaryota; Metazoa; Arthropoda; Insecta; Lepidoptera; Bombycidae.